AUGCCCUCCGACAGGGCACCAGGUCCUGACGGCUUCUCCGGACUAUUUUAUAAAAUGUGUUGGGAUAUCAUUGCUCCGGAUCUAAUGGCUGUGAUGAAGACUUUGCAUAAGGGCCGCUUUUACUCUUUUGGAGGCCUCAGUGCUUCAAUCCUCACACUCCUGCCCAAGAAAUCAAACUCAUUGGAGAUCGGAGACUUCAGGCCUAUCAACCUCAUCCAUGGUGUGGCCAAGAUUUUCGCUAAAGUGCUCGCCUGCCAUCUGGCUCUGCUCCUGCCCACCCUCAUCUCGCAGGCUCAAAGUGCUUUCAUCUCCCGGCGCAAUAAUCAUGAAAAAUUCAAGUUUGUGAGGAACCUUGCUCGUCUGCAGCACCGCAAAUGAAAGCCCUCGGUUCUUAUGAAGAUCGACAUCUCCAAAGCCUUUGACACCCUUUCUUGGGAGUUCCUCCUGGAAAUCCUUUUUGCCAGAGGAUUCGGUAGGAAGUGG
RNAcentral lists this ribosomal RNA (483 nucleotides) under Triticum aestivum (bread wheat). Its description in RNAcentral is "partial small subunit ribosomal RNA". Lineage: Eukaryota; Viridiplantae; Streptophyta; Magnoliopsida; Poales; Poaceae. The record is from RNAcentral.